Molecule: ribosomal RNA, 253 nt
Filed under: uncultured bacterium
Lineage: Bacteria
Description: partial 16S ribosomal RNA
Rfam family: Bacterial small subunit ribosomal RNA
Source: RNAcentral
UACGAACCGUCCGAACGUUAUUCGGAAUCACUGGGCUUAAAGGGUGCGUAGGCGGCCCGGAAAGUUGGGUGUGAAAUCCCUCGGCUUAACCGGGGAAUGGCGCUCAAAACUACCGGGCUCGAGGGAGACAGAGGUGAGCGGAACUUAGGGUGGAGCGGUGAAAUGCGUUGAUAUCCUAAGGAACACCGGUGGCGAAAGCGGCUCACUGGGUCUUUUCUGACGCUGAGGCACGAAAGCUAGGGGAGCGAACGGG